This 68-nucleotide transfer RNA is filed under the name human gut metagenome. It matches the Rfam family "tRNA". Rfam says of the family: Transfer RNA (tRNA) molecules are approximately 80 nucleotides in length. Their secondary structure includes four short double-helical elements and three loops (D, anti-codon, and T loops). The record is from RNAcentral.
GUUGAUAGCUCAGUUGGUAGAGCACGGGCCUUUUAAGCCUGGUGUCGCGGGUUCGAGACCCGCUCAAC